Non-coding RNA from Oryza barthii, 207 nucleotides. The record is from Rfam. NCBI's taxonomy places the organism in Eukaryota, Viridiplantae, Streptophyta, Magnoliopsida, Poales, Poaceae.
CCUAAGUAUAAUUUUAACACUAUUCAUGCUCAAUGUUUGACCGUUCGUCUUAUUUGAAAAACAAUUAUGAUUAGUAUUUUUAUUGUUAUUAGAUAAUACAUGAAUAGUACUUUAUGUGUGACUAAUAUUUUUAAUUUUUUUCAUAAAAUUUUUAAAUAAGACGGACGGUCAAAACGCUGGACACGGAUAUCUAUGGCUGUACUUUUU